CCUCCCCCGGGGUUGGAUAACGAACGUUAAACCAGUUGAAAUACACUUUUUCAAAACGUGUCACGGUAAUUGAGCGAGGAGAAGAGGGCAAAACAGGGGGGUUGAACGAGUGUAAUUACGAGCGCAACCGAUUCGGGCGCUUUUACGACGAGAGGAAACUGGACGACGACCCCGUGUCCAGUAAUAAACUUUGUAAAACCAUGUUCAACUUUCGAAGGAAAUAGCGUGGAAAUGUUAAAACGAAUUCUGGAGGAGCGUGAAAACGAGAGACCCUCCCCCCUCCCAAAUCUGUUCACCUGUACGUUCGAAGAAACGUGUCCCGUCUAUCUAGAAAUUAGGGUGAGCACAAAGGAAGAGAUGUAAGCCGGUUUUAUUGCUUCGAACGGGGAACAUCACGAGAUCACGGAAGCGCUAUAAACGAGUGGCACGUAUCUCGGGUCGAAAUAUUGCGCGCUACGUUAACAGUGCUCUGAAGUAUCGCCACUGUUGACAGAGAAGAGAAAGAGAAGAGGCGGAAAAGACGAAUGUUUGAGAGAUAGGGCGAAAACGAGGAUGGGAGAAAACCGCGAGGUCGUUAAACUUUUGGAUCGAGCUCGCGCGAAAAUAAGCCGAGAACACUUGGAAUUCUUCCUGAAAGAAUUCUCGAAAUCCAUCGAAAAUUAUCCCACGAAUUUCUUUUCCUUCCGGAUUCGAAAUUCCGGAGAACUAAGAAUUGAUUGGAUCAGAUCGAUGAAACAAAUCCUUCCAAACAAUUCUGGCGAUGUCGCCAAUUGGCAAUAUUUCCCUCUUCUAUUCUAUCCAGGGAAAAAAUUACGAAGAAACAUUUUUUUAUUAUAUCGCUAUAUCUUAUGUGUCUGGAAUAUUCGAAUGUAUGGCGGAGUCGGUUCAAUUCUUCUCCGAAUCGAUUCUUUUCGAAUUCGUUUCGACAAAGAAGAAAGACCCAUGCGUUGUCCUUCGAUAAAUUAAUUUCCGACGAAAGAUUUCAAGUAGGAAAAAAAAACUUGAAUGAAACGAUUGCUUUCCUCGAAACAGCUCGAACAGUUAUCGAGUAAACAGGAGAGUGUGUCAAGAUCGACGGGAUCCCGGACGGGGCGGAAGAAGGGAAGAAGCCGACAAAGCUCGAAAGAAGAAAAGUUACGGCAGCGUCUAGUGGCUGGUGGAACAAAAGGGAUUAUAUAUGGAUUAAUCGUUUCUCGUUGCGUUUACGGAGAUGAGGGGAACAAGGAAGGAAAGAAAGAAGGAAAGAAAGAAAGGAAGGGAUCCAUUUGGAAGAUAUAUUCUUUAUUUUGCUGGAGAAGCAGAGACGAGGGACGAUUCUCGCGAGAGGCAAGAAGUGGGAGAACGACAGGAAACGCGGAUAAUUUCCUUAUUAUCACCGUGGACGGUGAAUUCCAGAUUUAUUAGCGGUGCUUGUGCAAUAGCCUAUUCGAAUCGGCCGCGAGGGUAAUGAUUUAAUGCCACUAAAAUCAAUUCUAAUCCAUUUACGAGACCUAAUUUUCCCUAGUGGAAAAUAACCUUCUCGAUCCUGGUAUUUAUCCCGUAAGCAAUUCCAAUUUCUUCCACUUUCUAAAAAAAAAAAU
This 1580-nucleotide long non-coding RNA is filed under the name Apis dorsata (giant honeybee). RNAcentral's name for it is "uncharacterized LOC116186872". The record is from RNAcentral. Lineage: Eukaryota; Metazoa; Arthropoda; Insecta; Hymenoptera; Apidae.